Homalodisca vitripennis (glassy-winged sharpshooter) is the source of this 5774-nucleotide RNA transcript. It is a transcript of the gene named ELMO domain-containing protein 3-like, with no coding region annotated. NCBI's taxonomy places the organism in Eukaryota, Metazoa, Arthropoda, Insecta, Hemiptera, Cicadellidae. The record is from RefSeq and is a predicted model, not a curated record. The transcript is spliced from 8 exons.
CACAUAAACAUCAGUGUCGGGUGUAUUGGCAGUGACAGUAUGUUGAUUGCAAUUAAUGUGCUAUUAUAUUUUUAUUUAAUUUCUUAUGCGGGACAUUGUAUUGAAAAUGAGUUUGUAAGAUAUAUGUAUCGUGGCAACUUGAUGAGAAACUGAAUGGUUUAAAGUUAAAAGUAGUAAUGAUUGACACUAAGGAAUAUUUCAAGUAUUAUUUGAGUGUUUGUUUUUAAACUGGAACUGUGUAACUUAAGCUACAUUUCUUAACAACAUGGAAAGUGUCGGAAUUACUGAUGAUGAGGUGCAGAUUGCAAAGGAAACUGGAAAGAUUACUAACAUAAGUUUGCAUAGAAUUGAGCCAAAGGACAAAAAUAAAACUAGUAAGAGCAGCAGGUAAAGAACCUCUUGAAAAUAUCCAAAUUAUGCCUUCUUUGGAAGACAUUGCUGAAGAAUGGGCACAUGUCCCAUCAUUUGGCAGUGUCACUGGAAAAGAAUGUAAGAAAAUGAGCACCAUGGCAAUUACUGUCGAUGAAGCUUUCUGUCAUCUGCGAUCUUCAGAACUUCCGACUAUUGAGACUUGUCACAAUGGAGCAGACAGACUCAGGUGGAGUGCCAUGUUUCACUGGCUGCGAGCGCCACCUAAGUUGGACUCAGCUCUUAAGCCAGAGUACGAUUUGGUCCUGGCUAUUACCCAAUGCAGCUUCAGUUGGACUGAUGUUGUACAUUGGCGCAUGGUACAGACUGUGUACAAGCGACUCACAGGCUCUAAACUCGACUGUCCACAGUACGGCAGCCAUUGGCUUGAAAUCGGCUUCCAGGGCUCUGACCCCAGCAAGGACUUGCGAGGGGUGGGAAUGCUGGGACUGGUAAAUUUAUUAUAUCUAGCCACUCAUUCAACCACCCACACGCUUGCACUGAAACUCUACAGUGUUGCCAACUCUGAGACCCAACCAUUUCCACUUGCUGUGCUCAGUCUCAAUGUGUCCAGCAUAGCUGUCAAUGCCCUCAAAGGAGGUCGACUGAACAAGGAAUGUAACGCUAGGCACUCCGUGUUUGAUGUUAUCAACCUCUUCUACACGGUUGUUAUCAACUAUAUUUACAAUGUGUGGACGACUGAACAUAAAACACUCAAGGACUCUGGAAUAUUACUCAAAGAUGCAGAACGUUACUGUAACAAGCACGUCAGGAGGUUGCUAAGAGAACUGCCAGUAGCAUUGAGCAAACAUCAGUGAAAGCUGCAGAUAAAGUACUACAACUAUGCUUCCUAGUGAUGUGCCUUUACUUUUCUGUAAAAUAAAUUUUCUUCUGAGAACUUGGUCAAGCGUGAUGCAGAUUCUUGGAUGAAAAGAUUCAACACCAAAGAAUUGAAAUGUUAACCACUGCUCUAAGGAAUAAUUUCUGUUACACCUAGACUAAUAUUAUGUGUUUGUUAUAAUUUUAAUUUCUUUGUUAUUUCAGUUGCAAUAUAAAUUAUAACAAAAAAUAUUUCUAUGCAUUAAAUAUAUAUUAAACUUGAAUUACAUAUAACAUAGCCGACUGGCUUGAGAAUGGGCCUUAAUUUUUAAUAUUUUUUAACAUUAUAAGUAUUUAAGAAAAAAGGUGGUUUGACAGGCUUACCUAAUUGAAAUGAACUAUUAAAUAAUAGAAUAAAAUACUUUUAAAAAUUUAGAAAUUAUCUGUAUGAAUAUCUAAUUUAUUUUUAUGUGUUGUGUGCUUGUCUUAUGCAGAAGAUAUUUUAUUUAAAAAAGUCUUAAAUUUCAUUUGUCAGUCAAUCAGGUUGAAAGCCACCCUAGCCACAAGUGAAGUUAAUAUUUUAUAAAUAUGAGGAGGGUGAAUAACAUAUCAAAAUCACAUCCAUGCACAAGUAAUGCACAAAACUGAGUUUAUUCAUAAUUUUGUAAGAAUGUUAUGGAAAAGUUUGUUACAUUAUAGUAUUUUAAUUAAUAGAGAUCUUUUGUAAAAUACUAAGUAACACUUUACAAUAAACAAGUUAUUAAUUAUAGUAACACUAUCAGUGUAGAGGGCAUUUCAAACCUAAAAUCCCGGCCAGUUUGGUCUAAAAAUGUGUGUUCAGAAAAACCAAGAAGAAUUAUCAUUAUUAAAGAGAAUAAUUUGUUUUAUUGAAUAUAUUUAGUUGUACAAUGAGCUGUACGAUGUUAAAGAAAUGGAAAGCAAUAUUAACAGUAGUCUGUGCAACAAAAUGUUUUUAUAAAAAUAAUUUUAGAUAAAAACUUUUCUUUGUCCUAAUACUAUUUUGUUGCACUCAUGAUAAUGCUCCAAUAAAAGAUAAUAGUCAGUAAUGCUGGAAACAAAUAAAAGGUCUAUAAAAAUAAAUACCUAAGUACUUAAUUAUCAUUUGGAACACACUACACCAUUUAGAAGCCAUUACAGUUAUUACAUCUAAAUAUGAAUUAUAUCAUACAAUAACUUUUAUGUAUAAAACUUCCUUCUCCUAUAUCAAAUUUAGAUAUUCAGGGUUAAUAUAUAGCAAUUAUUAAUUCUGAAUGUCUUCUAAAUUCUAAUCCAGCUUUUAAUUAUAUUUCAAUUGGUUACAUGUAAUUUGACCCUCCUACCAAAGUAGGUAGGGCUUGGUAGUUGUACUUCUAAAUACUUUUAUUUCAAAUAUAAUGUUUUUAAACAUUAUAUCAAUGCAAAUUAGAUAAAUAAAAUUAAGAGAAGCAAUGUUCAUGUAUGUUGAAAGCAAUAAGAGAGAAUAUGUUUUAAAAAUUAUCAAAUGUAAAAACAUGAUUAGUUGCAUUUUUGUCUUUGCUAUCAGUUUUUGCUUGGAUAAUUACUAUAAGCAUUUAUUCUUUGAACGUUUACAAAAUAAGUAUGUUGUGUUAACAAUUAAUUUGUCUUUGAUUUUCAGAUGACAAUAUUCUUUUAAUAGUGUAUAAUAAUAUUAGUGGAUUAAACAGCUGAUUAUUAAUUUGUCUUGUCAUACUUUUUAAUAUAUUAGGAAUACUAAUCUAUAUUAGGCUAGUUGCACACACACCGAUUUUGGACGACCGAUUUUUCUGCACAAUGAAACAACAGCUGAAAUUUGGCGAUUUUCAACCAAACAAAACGGAUUUGUUCGUGAAGAUGGCGGAGCGAGAGCUGUGAGGACGAUCGGUAAACAAUCGGUGCCAGCAUGUGUUUAGUCACGUGCGCCACUGUUGUCACCGGCAACGGCGGUACGCAGUGGCAGUGGCCGGCUGCUCACUGGCAUUUUACCGGCGCCGAUCAGCUGUCGGCGUGUGUGCCAGGUCCCGUUCCCUCAUUCAGUUCACUAUUGGAAUUUGGACAGCCGGUAAAAAAUCGGUCGUCCAAAAUCGGUGUGUGUGCAACUAGCCUAAGUGCUGUAGUUUUGAUCUGUGUGAUUUUAAUGCAUAAUUUGUAGCCUUUAAUGAAUUAAUAUGUACUACUAUGCAGGGUGUUUGGUUAACCCUUUUAGUGCCAAGAGCAUAUAUGUAGGCUCAACCUGUUAGUCAUAAAACACCAAGAGCCUUUAUUUAGGCUGAAGUUAGUUUGGUGGUGAAACGCCAAGAGCUUAUGUAUAGACUUGGACAAGUUCGGACGUUAAGCGCCAAGAGCCUUUAUUUAGGCUCUCAACAUUUUCAUGCAAUACACAACCAUUUAUUGACUAAUAUCAAUAAAAUCAGUACUGAUUUAUGCAUUUUAUGUAAAAUGUACUAUAAUAGCAAGUAGCACUGCAUAGAAAUUCAUAUAAUAUUCAAACAAAAUAACAAUACACACAAAAAUGUUUUAUUAACAACAUAUGCGUUUCUAUGGUAAAAGUCAGUUUUGUAAUUUUUUUUACUAAUAAAUAUAUAAAUUGUUAGUAUAAUAUUACCAAAUUUUCACAGGUCUUUCUUAAUUAAAUGUAUUACACUAUAAUAGAGUUUUUCAGGCAUUUAUUAAGCUCUUAAUUUACACACAAAAAAUGGAAAAAGUAUCUAACUUUUAAAGGUAUACAAUUUUAACAGAACAUUUCAUACAUUCCAUUACAUGUCAUUGUUCCCCUAUUAAUAACGAAAAAUGAUGUCAAAAUCAUUGCUUUAUCAUAAAAUUUAGUGAAAUGAGAACUAUUUAUAUCUGUGUGUCAUGAUUCGUAAAAUUGCCUUGGUGCUACUGCCACAAACCCCGCAGCUAAGCUGCGGCGCCCGACGGGACAACCCGCACCAGUAACUCUGGCGUUAUGUGACGCAACCUGCUCAAUAUGCUUUGCUCUAAAAGGGUUAAGAUUUUUUACUUCUCAUCUUAAGAGAUUAUUAUUGUGACCUUAUAAUAUUUUAAGUAAAUUUAAACAUAUAAUACCACAUAAUUGGUAAAACCCUUAUAUUUCUUGUUUGUUACAGCAAAAUAUAAAUAGUUGCAUCUUUACAAUAUAUUAAAGUAAUACUCUUGUCGAUCCCCAAAAUAUUAUUGGGAUUCACCAAUAAUAGUCUUUAUUUGGCUUAUAUUAAUAAAACUCACUUUACUAGAGGAGUUUAAAUUUUAAUUGUGUUUUGAAAGUAAGAAAACCCAAAUUUUAAUUAAGUUCUUGAAUAUAAGUUUAGGAAUAUAUUUGCGAAAUCCAAAGUUUUUUGUCUCAAGAAAUAAAAAACCAUCCCUAAUAUACAGCAAUUAGGUUAAGUACAUAAAUUAAUGCCUUUUAUUCAUAUGAAUACUGUAGUUAAAAGAAGUUUCAAAUUUCAUAAUAAUAAAAAUAGUAUCUUUCUGUUUGUAUUAUAGUUAUGGUGGAAGGGGUUAAUUGAAUGUGAAUGUUUAUACCUUCCACUUAGUACAACAACUGAAAUCUGAUGCUAUAUACAGACUUGAAUCCUGGAAUCUGAUUUCGAUGUCUGUCUGGAGAGGACCAAAAAUGUUUCCGUCUGGGUGCUCUGAUGCUGAAAGUUUUCAUUGCCGACUUUUUUUUGUUCUCUCCAGUCAGAAGUGGACUCCAGAUUGCAGGAGUCAUCAAGUCUGUGACAGUGUCAGAUUUCAGACGCUGCACAAGGAAGGAGAAAUAAAGCUAAACAACAUUCGUGUUCUUCUCAUCAUGUAAUAUCAAAAUUAUCUGGUAAAAAGUAUUAUUUUAAUGGUAAAAAAAGAAAUAUUAAAAUUCUGUGCCAGCAUUUCAUCUUAGCAUUUGUUGUCUGUCAAAAGAAGUUUUCCUACUACUGUUUUAAAAGAGAUAUAUGUUUUUCUUAGUUUGUAUAAAAUCGUUUAUAAAAUUAGUUUAUAUUAUUUCAUAUGGACAUUUUUUUUUUUUAUAACGAACAGGGUGCAAAUAUUGUAGUGUUACACAAUCAUAUCGUAGAAGUGCUAUGCACAUUAAACAUUUCAAGGACUACUUCAUUAAGUGUUAUAAUUGCUCACUUAUGUUUUAAUCAGCAAACUAGAAAAUUAUUUGUGAUUUAAGCGUGUGAUUUGUAUAAUAAAGUGCUUUGGUAAGUAACAAUAUUAGCUUACAGCAGCAUUAUAGGUUGUAUUGUUUUUGAUUGCCAAUAGUUAUGAUACUAUGAUUACAGUAAUAUUAGGUUCUGAAUUGCCUCUUGUUGUUUUUACCAACUGUAUUUAUAAAGGGGGUAAUACACUAAAAUUUACUUUUUUUGGUUGUCAUUAUAUUGAAUAUUUUUGUCUCAAAAAUACUACACCAGUACUAAUUUAUUUAAUUCAAUUAAACUGGGAUUGCUGUUAUGUACAUUCUAGUCAGAUGUUAUCUGUGUUAAAGUUGUUAGAUAUUUGUGCUUCUAAUUUUCUAAUGUAAUAUCUUAUUUAUAAUUUUGUAGAAUAAAAAAUGAUCUCAGAUUGAA